AAUUCAUCCAAGGUGACAUGGCAAAAACUGAGGGAUGAUCCAGGUGGCAAGGCUGGAAGCAAGGGAUGAGUUACAAGAGCCCACUCAUGAGGGGAAACAUCUCAGCAAUUCAAGAGUGCAGCUCUGAAGAGGAAGAUCAACCUACAAUAGGACUCAUCAACCCCUCCCAGAUAUAAUGACUGGAGCUGCAGCAGCCAUUUUGUCACCAUGAGACAAACAAAGACAACGAUAAGAAUGGUAGUAUAAAAUGGUAGGAGAAGCCUGAAGACAGUAGCAUUCAACCGUCUUCCAGUUGAGCCCCACCUGC
Odocoileus virginianus texanus is the source of this 307-nucleotide long non-coding RNA. RefSeq lists it as uncharacterized. The record is from RefSeq and is a predicted model, not a curated record. NCBI's taxonomy places the organism in Eukaryota, Metazoa, Chordata, Mammalia, Artiodactyla, Cervidae.